UUCCACAGCUUUCUUGAAUG
Molecule: microRNA, 20 nt
Filed under: Corchorus olitorius
Lineage: Eukaryota; Viridiplantae; Streptophyta; Magnoliopsida; Malvales; Malvaceae
Description: vvi-miR39
Source: RNAcentral